ACAUUAAGUGUGGAUUGUGAUUCACGUUUAAGUAGGACGAUCAAUUGUGUCUAUGCAUUGAUUCACCCACACAGAGUACAUGAUAUACACACACUGGAGCAGUUACAGAGAGCCUGAUGGAAGUGGCACGCAGGCCAGGGCGUGCUCCAUGAUCCUAUAAUCUAGGAGUCUAUGUUUUUAAGGCGUCGCUUAGGCGACGCCUAGGCGUCAGGGCGCCCUCUAGGCUCAGGGCGUCGGCCUUGCCUUAGACAGUUGCGUAAGGCAUCCGCCUUAGGCUGUAAGGCGUCUGAAGCGUCCGCCUUAGCGCCGCCUUGCACGCCUCAGACCAAAUCAGAUGCCUUAGCUUGUCAGGCAGGGAAACAGAGAUUGCAGGCGGGAAAACUGACCUGGGCGGGAACACAGGCGCGGGAAACAUUGGUUCAGGUGCGACCAGUUAUGAGAAGGGGAAAGAGAGAGUGAAUCAACGCGAGAGGUCUCUCCUGUCUCCUCUCUGGACCAUUGACGGAGGCUUCCUCCUCAGAUCUGCGGCAGCCGCCAGCCUCCUCCCUCCGGCCACAGUUCCUUCCCCUCCUCUCCGGCUGCAGCUCCUCCCCAUCCUCCUCUGGCGCAACCCUCUUCCAGCAGAUCAGCACCACAUCAAAUAGCCAGGUGUACCUGCUCUGAUGGAUCUAGCCAAUGAUCCUAGGAGAAGAGCUACAUCAGAUGAUCCAGCCUGGAAGUAUGGGUUCUGGCCAGAUUUAGAGAGGAAAGAUUUACUCCAGUGUACAUUGUGUGGCAAGAUAGUCCAUGGUGGAGUGAGAAGGCUAAAGCAACACUUUUCUGGGGGUUCCAGUGAUGCGGAUAAGUGUCCUGAGGCAUCCAUGGAGAUUAGGAUAGAGAUGCACAAUUCCUUAAACACUAGAAAGUUUAAAGCUAUGGAGCGAUAUAUUGAUGAGGAGGAUGAAGCUGAACUUCAAAGGCGACGUUCUGUCAUAUACACAUGAUGAUUUGAGGCCUAUGCUUUGGUAACAGUUUAUAUGUUAACGUUAAUUGUUAAAUCUCCUAAUUGGUUGCCAUCUAUUAUAUAUGUAUGUACAAUUUAUUAAGUUAA
Molecule: non-coding RNA, 1090 nt
Organism: Aegilops tauschii subsp. strangulata
Lineage: Eukaryota; Viridiplantae; Streptophyta; Magnoliopsida; Poales; Poaceae
Source: RefSeq, a predicted model, not a curated record